GUCUUGGAGGGUUUCCGCCCUUCAGUGCUGCAGCUAACGCAUUAAGCAUUCCGCCUGGGGAGUACGGCCGCAAGGCUGAAACUCAAAGGAAUUGACGGGGGCCCGCACAAGCGGUGGAGCAUGUGGUUUAAUUCGAAGCUACGCGAAGAACCUUACCAGGUCUUGACAUACUAUGCAAAUCUAAGAGAUUAGACGUUCCCUUCGGGGACAUGGAUACAGGUGGUGCAUGGUUGUCGUCAGCUCGUGUCGUGAGAUGUUGGGUUAAGUCCCGCAACGAGCGCAACCCUUAUUAUCAGUUGCCAGCAUUAAGUUGGGCACUCUGGUGAGACUGCCGGUGACAAACCGGAGGAAGGUGGGGAUGACGUCAAAUCAUCAUGCCCCUUAUGACCUGGGCUACACACGUGCUACAAUGGAUGGUACAACGAGUUGCGAACUCGCGAGAGUAAGCUAAUCUCUUAAAGCCAUUCUCAGUUCGGAUUGUAGGCUGCAACUCGCCUACAUGAAGUCGGAAUCGCUAGUAAUCGCGGAUCAGCAUGCCGCGGUGAAUACGUUCCCGGGCCUUGUACACACCGCCCGUCACACCAUGAGAGUUUGUAACACCCAAAGUCGGUGGGGUAACCUUUUAGGAACCAGCCGCCUAAGGUGGGACAGAUGAUUAGGGUGAAGUCGUAACAGGGUAAACCGUAAAAAAGUCCGCUGGCCAAAAGGGGCGGGUCGUGGGGCGUGGUUUAAGACCCCAGC
RNAcentral lists this ribosomal RNA (741 nucleotides) under Lactiplantibacillus plantarum. Its description in RNAcentral is "bacterial SSU rRNA". It matches the Rfam family "Bacterial small subunit ribosomal RNA", at positions 820 to 1533 of the family's 1533-position model. The record is from RNAcentral. Lineage: Bacteria; Bacillati; Bacillota; Bacilli; Lactobacillales; Lactobacillaceae.